Molecule: ribosomal RNA, 254 nt
Filed under: uncultured bacterium
Lineage: Bacteria
Description: partial 16S ribosomal RNA
Rfam family: Bacterial small subunit ribosomal RNA
Source: RNAcentral
CACGUAGGGGGCGAGCGUUGUCCGGAAUCAUUGGGCGUAAAGAGCUCGUAGGCGGCUCGGUAAGUCGGGUGUGAAACCCCCAGGCUCAACCUGGGGACGCCACCCGAUACUGCUGUGGCUAGAGUCCAGUAGGGGAGUGUGGAAUUCCCGGUGUAGCGGUGAAAUGCGCAGAUAUCGGGAGGAACACCAGUGGCGAAGGCGGCUCACUGGCCCGAUACUGACGCUGAGGUGCGAAAGCGUGGGGAGCAAACAGG